GGAAGAGUGCCCGAAUGGUUUUAGGGAGUACGCUGUAAACGUAUCGGAAAUCGCAAUGUAGGUUCGAUUCCUACCUCUUUCA
This 82-nucleotide transfer RNA is filed under the name Rhizophydium sp. 136. Its description in RNAcentral is "tRNA-Tyr". It matches the Rfam family "tRNA". Rfam says of the family: Transfer RNA (tRNA) molecules are approximately 80 nucleotides in length. Their secondary structure includes four short double-helical elements and three loops (D, anti-codon, and T loops). Further hydrogen bonds mediate the characteristic L-shaped molecular structure. tRNAs have two regions of fundamental functional importance: the anti-codon, which is responsible for specific mRNA codon recognition, and the 3' end, to which the tRNAs corresponding amino acid is attached (by aminoacyl-tRNA synthetases). tRNAs cope with the degeneracy of the genetic code in two manners: having more than one tRNA (with a specific anti-codon) for a particular amino acid; and 'wobble' base-pairing, i.e. permitting non-standard base-pairing at the 3rd anti-codon position. Lineage: Eukaryota; Fungi; Chytridiomycota; Chytridiomycetes; Rhizophydiales; Rhizophydiaceae. The record is from RNAcentral.